This is a long non-coding RNA of Leopardus geoffroyi (Geoffroy's cat), 1141 nucleotides long. RefSeq lists it as uncharacterized. The record is from RefSeq and is a predicted model, not a curated record. The transcript has 2 exons. NCBI's taxonomy places the organism in Eukaryota, Metazoa, Chordata, Mammalia, Carnivora, Felidae.
CCCCAUUCUCUCCUGCCUGGGUCACUGUGAUUGCCUCCCGACCGGUGGCCCGGCUCCUGCCCUGUGAAGUCUGUCUCCCCACCCGGCAACCAGAGUGAUCCUAGGAGAAGCAGGCGAGCUCCUGCCCCGGCUCUUCUGUCCGAUCUCAGGCUUCCUCCCCCCGUGACCACGACCGUGUGACCAUGACGGCUCUGCUCUGUGGCAGCUGACCUUUCUGACCGCUAUCUAACACCCCCUCUCUCUUCCUCUGGUCUCGCUGACAUAUUCUCUCCAGCCCUUCCCACUCACCCUUCCAACACCCUCCCCUCACUCUCCCAGACCACGCUUUCAACUCUCCCUCCUUCCCACCCUCCCCCAGCUGCCCUUUCUCUCCCAGGACUUAACCAGGACGCCCAAAGACUGCAUUCAGCGAACACUCUUCUGAGUCCUGGACCAGUAAAAGCCCUGACCUCCCAACACUUCCUCAGACGCCAGAUGUCACAGCCCAAUGUCAUCCUCUUUCUCCCCAGGCAUCCCCGUCCCCCUGGUUGCUAAGACAGAAGUGUCCGAUGCAUUCAGAUGCCCCCCACGGCUUCCCAGCCUCCCUCCCAAGACCUUCUAACCUGUCUCUGGAGCCUCUCCUACUACUUAAAUGGCCCUCUCCCAGAGCAGCCCCACCCCUCCUCAGUUCCGGCCCUAAUUUCCUCUCACCAGACCCUUUCUCCACCGAGUGGCCCGAGUGAUGGCUUUAAACACAAAUUGGAUCAAGACACCACCUGCUCGAAACCCUGCACAGCUCCGCAUGACUCUCUGGUGCAGUGCACAUCCCUUACUUAGCCCGUGGACUCACAACGGAGCCCUCCUCUGCCCCUCCGUCUCCCACCCCUUCCAACUCUCCCCUAUCUAGUCUGUCUUCCAGGUUUUCAAGAUAGUUUCAUUGAAGUGUAAUUUAUAGGUAAUAAAACUCACUCAUCCUAGGUGUAGAGCUUGAUGGAUGUGGAUAAUUAUGUACAGUUAUAGGCACAUGGCUGUUACCCUAAAGGUCCCCUGAGUCCCUUUGCAGUCACUCUCCUAGCCCCAGGCAGCCACUGAUUUGCCUUAUGUCACUAUCGCUUUGUCUUUUCCAUAGUUUUAUAUAAAUAAAAUUACUGUUUGUAAUCUC